GAGGCUUCGACAAUGCCCGAAAGGGUGAUCGAGCGACGCCGCGUGCGGGAUGAAGGUCUUCGGAUUGUAAACCGCUUUUGUUUGGGAAGAAGGCCUGUAUCGUGAAUACGGGAUUGACGGUACCAAACGAAUAAGCCCCGGCUAACUCCGUGCCAGCAGCCGCGGUAAGACGUAGGGGGCUAGCGUUGUCCGGAAUCACUGGGCGUAAAGAGCUCGUAGGCGGUCUGUUAAGUCGGGUGUGAAAGCCCUCGGCUCAACCGAGGAAUUGCACUCGAUACUGGCAGGCUAGAGUCAAGCAGAGGGAAGUGGAAUUCCCGGUGUAGCGGUGAAAUGCGCAGAUAUCGGGAAGAACACCGGUGGCGAAGGCGGCUUCCUGGGCUUGUACUGACGCUGAGGAGCGAAAGCUAGGGGAGCGAACAG
RNAcentral lists this ribosomal RNA (420 nucleotides) under uncultured bacterium. RNAcentral's name for it is "bacterial SSU rRNA". It matches the Rfam family "Bacterial small subunit ribosomal RNA", at positions 359 to 775 of the family's 1533-position model. The record is from RNAcentral.